Molecule: ribosomal RNA, 253 nt
Filed under: uncultured bacterium
Lineage: Bacteria
Description: partial 16S ribosomal RNA
Rfam family: Bacterial small subunit ribosomal RNA
Source: RNAcentral
UACGUAGGUGGCUAGCGUUGUCCGGAUUUACUGGGCGUAAAGGGCGCGUAGGCGGCCUUCUAAGUCGAACGUGAAAUCCCCGGGCUCAACCCGGGAACUGCGUCCGAUACUGGAAGGCUUGAAUCCGGGAGAGGGAUGCGGAAUUCCAGGUGUAGCGGUGAAAUGCGUAGAUAUCUGGAGGAACACCGGUGGCGAAGGCGGCAUCCUGGACCGGCAUUGACGCUGAGGCGCGAAAGCCAGGGGAGCAAACGGG